CUGCCUACGGGGCGCAGCAGUGAGGAAUAUUGGUCAAUGGGCGCGAGCCUGAACCAGCCAAGUAGCGUGAAGGAUGACUGCCCUACGGGUUGUAAACUUCUUUUAUAAAGGAAUAAAGUGAGGCACGUGUGCCUUUUUGUAUGUAUUUUAUGAAUAAGGAUCGGCUAACUCCGUGCCAGCAGCCGCGGUAAUACGGAGGAUCCGAGCGUUAUCCGGAUUUAUUGGGUUUAAAGUGAGCGUAGGCGGAUUAUUAAGUCAGUUGUGAAAGUUUGCGGCUCAACCGUAAAAUUGCAGUUGAUACUGGU
This 305-nucleotide ribosomal RNA is filed under the name uncultured bacterium. RNAcentral's name for it is "bacterial SSU rRNA". It matches the Rfam family "Bacterial small subunit ribosomal RNA", at positions 335 to 637 of the family's 1533-position model. The record is from RNAcentral.